GUCUCUUCACAGCUUCAAGGCUCUACAGAUUAAACGGCAAAAGUGGCAGUAGAAGCUUCUAAAAUAAGCAUAAUGACCAAAAAAAUACAAAUUUUACAUUUUUUGCAAUUUUGCCACAAAUUUUAAUUUUUUCAACAUUUUCUUGAUUUCAAAUUUCAGUUGCAAUUAUGUCCAAAAUCUUGGAUAUAAUUGCAAUUGAGUUUUAAAAUCAAGAUAAAAUUGCAAAAAUUAUAAGCUUUGGGAACAAUUGCAAAAGAAUGUGAAGAAUUGGAUUUUUUUUCCUUUUUUU
RNAcentral lists this unclassified non-coding RNA (289 nucleotides) under Hevea brasiliensis (rubber tree). The record is from RNAcentral. Lineage: Eukaryota; Viridiplantae; Streptophyta; Magnoliopsida; Malpighiales; Euphorbiaceae.